Long non-coding RNA from Diachasmimorpha longicaudata, 4125 nucleotides. RefSeq lists it as uncharacterized. The transcript is spliced from 2 exons. The record is from RefSeq and is a predicted model, not a curated record. Lineage: Eukaryota; Metazoa; Arthropoda; Insecta; Hymenoptera; Braconidae.
GCUCGGCAAUGUACUAGACCAAGAAUUAAAAGCUCAUUCUCCCUCUUUUUCGCGAUAAUAUCGGACAAGAGACUACCCCUAGACGGCAACAUCCCGACGACGUUCAUUUGCGUGGUUUCAAUCGUACGGGUACGAUAAAAUUAAUCCUCGUGAUUUUGCCAUGAAAUUAUAACAUUUUUCGCUGAAUUCGAAAGGACAAAGGGUCGCCGAAUAUUUGGGAUUUAUUGUAACAUGGGACAAAAGCUAUUUUUGUUAUCAUGACGAAGGGAAUCAGUGAAUUGGAAAAAAUAUAUGGAGCCUCUUGGCUUUUUUUUCUUUCUCAACUUGAAAAUAAAUGCGGGGGGUAAUUCUGUGCAACAUUAGCCCACUCGACUUCCAGACAACAUCCGAAGACGACAUGUGUGGAGAGCUCGGAGCAUCUGGGUUGCAAGACCCCGGGAAAGAAUUGACAUCAUAUGAUAUCCGGAAGAAUUGACCCAGUUGCCUAUUAAGCUAUCGGCAAGAGUAGCAAGGAGUGGCCACUACAAACGGGGGAUUCUAUUUCGAGUUCGCCUGCUCUAUGUUUAGCCGGAGCGCGGACACUCCCUAUAAGUUCAAGCGUCAGAUUAUGAACCCCACCAGCUGCCUCAUCGCCGAGCAACUCUGGCGUGGGGUCGAGAAGACAGAGAUGAGAAUGACGACUGCACGUGCCAAAAUUAUGCCCCAACAAAAACACCGAGAAACACCCGAAAUCCGGCCAAAGACCUCAAAGACAGUCAAAGGUCCCUAAUUGCGGACGCCCACUGAAAUUUCCAUAUUACACGCCCUCAACAGACUAAUUACCCCCGGAAAAAAACUAAAAGAAAAAAAAUGAAAAAUCAUUCCGAACACAGACUCGGCCAAAAUCAUUUCUUUUUCUUCCAAUUAAAUUUCUAAUUGAUCACUGACUUCAUCACUGACUCUAGUUUCUUGUAAACAAAUCACCCGGAAAAUAAAAUCGCGUGAAGGCACUCCAUCAUCACCGGUGUUAAUGAAAAUUUCAAUAACUCGAUACUCGAACCGUCGGUGGGAAAUAUGAUUAUGGAAUAUUAAUUGUACGUACCGUGGCACGGGACAGAGUGUUGUGGCGUCUGUGCCUGAACGGCGUCCCGACGUCCAAUAUAUGCUCUCGUCCCUACGCCCCCGCAUUUCCGUACGACAACGUCUUCCCCAACAGGCACGAAAAAGGCGUGAGUCGCGGAACGUCGCGACGCCUCACCGAACUAGGCGGCCCUAUCCUGGAUUCGCCACCUUUUUUUCUCCUCUCGCUACCCCAAAAUUAAAGAAUUUUCAUCAUCAGGCUUUCACUCUUGGCUCACCAUGAAAUUAUAUCUAUUCAAACAAAAAAAAUAUAAAUAAAUUGCUCUAAUUGAGACUCGAAGAACUGCUAAAUUCAUUCGUUUCAGUAGUUCGGAAUAAAUUAUUUAUGAAAUCAGAGCAAUAAUCUCUGGCCAAUCGUCAGAAUAAAAAUUCGCUUCUUCAAUUGUUACGUCAUUGGCAUACCAAAUACUAUUGGAAUUUUUUAUAACCAUUGUUGUGUGAAAAUUUAUGAGACAGAGGAAACGUCACCGAGAAAUUAUGGAUUUAAAGAUCGUUUGAAUCUCGAAAAUAGGUUAAUUAAUUUUUUUAUCCAUUUGACAUGAAUUCUUAUAAUAAUAUGUAACCGGUCGUCAAAAUAAAAAUUUGUAUCUUAAUUAUUGCGUCAUCAACGCACUGAAAAUUCUAUUAUGAAAACGCAUCAAUCGACAGUUGAUCAAACCCAUGAGAAUGAAUUGUGUCAGAUGAUUGGGAAAUCACGCGGAGACGUAAAUAAAAAAUUCCAAGGGGUGAAGAGAUACUCUGGAGGCAUUAGAAUUAGUCCAGUGAAAAAAUAGAUGACCCGGAGAAUACGAAAAAAAAAAACAUUGAAGAAUCAAGUUUUUUCCAUCUGGACAGAUUAUUAUUUUUUCCUGUUGCAUUAAUCAUCGCUGAAAAUAAUGAAGUUCUGAUUAAUUCGUUACCGAUAAUGCGGAGAAAUUCUUUUGUGAUGGCUAUGUCAAUAGCUCAUAGGAAUAGAAAUGAUUUUUAAUGCUGUUUUUAUUCGAAUGAUGCCAUUGAUUUUUAUUGUUCAUUAGAUCGUCGAUUGUAACGAUUUUUUGACGGAAAUUUUAUGAGACAUUCGAGAAUUUGUCGAUGUUGAAAAUUAUGGGGUUCUUGAAAAUUCUUGAUGAGAGAAAUUAAAUUGUUAAUGAUAUUUGAUUUUAACGCUCGUGUGAGCGUUGGAAAUUGGAAACUAAACUAGGGAACACUAAAUUUUCAUUCAUAUCUCAUUAAAUAAUGUUUGAAGAGUUAUAUUUAAAAAACACGGGUAAAUGGUCACUAUUUAAUUUUAUAGAACGACAAACUGUCGUCACAUUUUGAAACCGCGCUUCCUCUCAAUCAAAAACCACCAUUUUCUUCACUAUUUUUAUUAUUUAUGAUGAAAAUAUAUGCAAAAAAUCAAUUUUUAAAAUCACAUUUUUAGUGAACAAAAUUACAAUCAUCAGUGAGAUCUUUAAAUAUCUUAAAAACUAGUUGAAAAAUAAAUUUAAUGAAAAUGAUUUUUUCUUCCACAAAUACCCCAGAAAAUUACAAUAAUGGUAUUAUUCAAAUCUGAAACAUCUCCAUUGGAAUCUUGAUAUUAAAUGCUUAAAUUUUACUCCCCAAAUCCGGAAAAAAACUCCUUAUUUUUGAAGAAAAACUGAUAAUUUUAAAAAAUACCAGUUAUUUUUAUAAAUAAUCUCCGAAUCAGAUAUCGAACAAUUCUUAUUCCCUUAUACACAACUGUUAAAAGAAAAUUGCGUAAGACGAGACUUGAAUAACAUGAAUUCAGAUUCCUGACUUCCUUUGAAAUUGAAAAAAAUUUCGAAAUUUUCAAGCACCAAAAAAUCCUUGAAAAUCCCCAAAGAAAAUUGAAAACUGCCUCGAACUUAAAAACAAAAAACACAUUUCCUAACAUGAUAAGCUCGUCAGCUGAAGUGGCAAGGUCACGAGGUAGGCGGCACAUCACAACAUAACACAAUAGUUAUUUUGGCAGAUCUAUCUCCACUGGCGUCAGUCUUACCGAGCCAUACUGAGUCAUAUUCAUCAAGUGCCCCAGCACAUUUAUCCGUCACACCGGUCUCGCCAGCCAAGAAAUACUCAAAAAUUUCAUUGGACCAACGCCUCCCCUAUAUCACCAGGAAAUUGUGAAUUGCAUAAAAGUGAUUCGUAACAGUUGGAGAAUCUCUCGAGGGAAUUUUUCGUCUUUGAAUCACCAAACAAAAAUUCUAUUUUCGUGGGCAGAGAUUCUUCUCCUCUGGUUUGAACAGAUAUGACCCAGUUGAAAUCAAAUUUAGACUUUAGCCUCCGUCUUGGAUAUCAGAGUCAGAAGGUGGGGGUGGGGGGUGAAUAUCAUCUUGCCAAAAAAGCCGAUGAACAGGGGAAUAUUAACUGAUGUAUUACUAUUCUCGUCUUCGACGAUUGCAUGACCGAUCAUUUGGUAUUAAAAAGAAAUAAAUCGGGUGAUGAGUAACGGGACUCAAUUAAUAUAAUCGUGACAUGAGAUAAUGUAUAUUUUACUUGACAAUAGAUUGACAUUUGUAUAACAAUAAUACGUGUAUAAUAUUUACAAAAUAAAUAAAAUUAUGGUAAACCGUAUGUCAGGUGACUGCGUAUAGUUGAUGAAUGAUGAUUGGGGGUGGGGAGGGGUCGGGAUGGGCAAAGCUGUUGUUCGAGUUUGCUUUUUUUUCUGAUAAAAAAGAAACUCGGGUAUUUGAUGAUGCUGGGUGCUGAGGGCCGACGGGGACGAGAUGUUCCGCGCCUUGCAGAAAUAGAGCGUCGCGAUACCCAAUGACGGGGUCCUCUCUAUCGUUGGAUUUCCGGGCUUUUUCCCUCUUACCGAUCCUAGGAUGGCCGUUUCGUUUGUCAUUGGUUGAACGAAAUGCUUGGUUUCAGUCUCUCGGCUGCCUGUUCAGUUUUCCUUAUUGAGGGAUCCAGUUGAUGGGGGAAGAGAAGUGUCAUGGUGGUCAGGUAAUCACGCUGCAGCGGGGAGUAUGGCAUCCCCGUUGGCCGAUGUCCUCGACGGCCUGUCAAGGUCGGUGUUGAGGG